AUUUAUACAUUAACAUCGUAAUUAAACCCAAUAAUUUUAAAUUAGGGUUUUUGAUUGAAAAAUUAGGGUUCUAAAAUUAGGGUUUCUUAACGCCAUCAAUUAGGGUUUCUAAUUGACCAUUAGGGUUCUCUAAUUAUCUGUGUGUGUUCUAACACAGUCGUUACAGACUCUAACUUCAACCGAUUAGGGUUAUAAUAAUUAGGGUUUGUCCUAAUUAUCAACGUACAACAGUAAUUAGGGUUUCCUUCUAAUUACCGACAUUCUUAUACAC
RNAcentral lists this long non-coding RNA (271 nucleotides) under Panax ginseng (ginseng). RNAcentral describes it as "long non-coding RNA (PGIN_LNC013544)". The record is from RNAcentral. Lineage: Eukaryota; Viridiplantae; Streptophyta; Magnoliopsida; Apiales; Araliaceae.